Long non-coding RNA from Taeniopygia guttata (zebra finch), 3698 nucleotides. NCBI's taxonomy places the organism in Eukaryota, Metazoa, Chordata, Aves, Passeriformes, Estrildidae. The record is from Ensembl.
CCCUCCCCAGACAGUCUGCUGAUUCCUGUCUGCUAACUAACUUUAUUUACAGGACUUAUAUGCUGAAACUGUUACAUUUGACUCUCAUCCUUCCUGGGACAAUAGGAGAAUUUUUAUAAAGCAUAAGGCCCUCAUUUACAGUUCAGCUCACAUGAUGAGCUUUAUCCUGCAUUUGCCAAAGGAAUGUGCUACAAAAAUAUUUUCUGUUUUCCUCUGUUACUCAAUUUUGUGAAACAUUUUGGGGUAUAAUUUACGAAAAUGUGACAGCAGUGUUUUAUAAACUGCUCUCUUACUGGUUUAAGUUCUUCCUUCCCUGUGCUGAUAUUUUGCUUAAAGGACACUCGUGGCAUUUCAGUCUGGGCAAUGCAGAGUUCCAAGAAUUGGCACAUCCCCUUUUCCACUGAUAUUUCUCAUUUUCCUUUAUGUGAGUUAGAGAGAUCUAUCCUUUUCAUGCAGAAUAAAGCUGAUCCUGCAAGCUGGCCUAAUUGUGGUCGCUCAGAUAAAUAAAUCUUGCAGCUUUCAUUUCUGAAAGUAUGAGCUAGUGUGGAUACUGCAGCCCCAGUCCUGCCAUCUCAUCUGCAUAAAAGUGAAUUAGAAACUAGGACAAGGUGACUUUAGGUCAAAGUCUUGUAGUUAUCCAUACAACACUUAGGAGGAUCCGGUAGCUGGAAGCAGCUUUGUCCUACACUGCUGGUGCUUCUUAGCUGGGACUUAGAAAAAACUACGCAAACUCAAAGGCUCCCAUGUACAGGGAGCUGUGAGUCUGUCGUUGGGCAUUUUGGGGUGGGCAUCCUAAAACUGGACUGGGAUCAUCUGGCUCGUUUGUCACAGGCCACCAUUGCAUUAUUCCAGCUGGAGAAAUGUAGAGAUGAAAGUCCUCUUUAUCCCAUUAGAAUGGCUGCCUUGUGUCACCCUAGAUAGUCACUGGCUGCAUUGCUGUGGCAGCCAAGUGACUUAGGAUAAAGUGCACACUGGCUCUGGGGGGCAGACAGCUUUUAAUUUCAUCUUUUAUUUCAGUUUCUGUCUCAGUAUCAUGCUAUUAUUACAUAUUAAGAACCCAUAGGUCUUUUUGGUGAAAAUGUGAAAAAUCUGAGCAUUUUGUAUCUAUUCAUGAAUGGUUUCAAAGUGUUUCCUCAAACCAUUAACUGAGUAAUGUGUUUUUCAAAAUGCUGUUAAAUUAGCCGGCUAAAUAAGGACUUUGUCUUGCAACAUGUCUCGAGUCAGUAUGAUCAUCCCUGAUUAUUUCUUAGUUAACGUUUUAUUAUGCUUCAAGUUACUUUCAAAAUAUCCCCUCCCCAUUCUAACUGGUGGUAAUUUUUCCAACAAUUUUCUGGUGUGUAGAAACACUUUUUCAUUUCAGAUCAUGAGCUAACUGAUUAAAUAUAAUUAAUCUGAUCUAGUAAUAUUUCAGUAUUAACAGCAGCAGUGCUCUUCACAUAGGACGUCCCAGACUUUUUGUUUCUAGGUGUGCCCAGUUCAUGAUAACAUUUUAUUAUUCAGAAGUAGGAUGGUAUAGGACAAAGAUGAUUAAAGAGUCCUAGAGCUGAGGAGAAUUAAAUAAGUGUACUAAGCGGAACCACUUCAGCUUUUCAGUUGGAAAAAUGACAGUGGAGAAAGUCUCAUAAACUCAGUGAUUCGAUCUGAGGCUUAAAGUCUAAUGUCAAGGAAUUCAUGUGAGGCCAUGUGAAGUGGGAUGAGGCUGCUGACUGUCAUAUUAAUAGCACCAUGAUUACCACUCAUCUUGGAGCCUGAUGAGGUUCCGUGUGGUAUUAGAAGCAGGAGAAGGGUGAAGAGGUAAAUUGGAGACCAGGAGUUGUGCAGGUGACAGGUUAAUAGGUGAGCUAUUUUGGUUAGUUAUGUGUAAUGAAUGGCACUGAGGAUUUUAUAAACUGUAGUAGUGUUUCCAGUGGUGGUUUUGAGGUCAUAUGACAUAUGUAGGCAGUACUUAGCCCCCAAGCUGACAAUAGGCCACAUUGUGCUCUGCUGUCUCACUACAAACCUUCCCUUUCAGCAGGCUCUCAGGCUGGCAUAUGCAAGGACUGGGUCAUUAGAGAGGAAGGUGUCUGGAUGUCCUGAAGAAUUCUGAAGUCAGGAGUGCAGUUUAACUUGUUUUCUAAUCCUCCUUAAUUUUUUUGUGACCAUUUGAGUCACAGUACUUGACAUUUCAUGUCUCUGUCCUUACUCUUUUUCUUUUGGAACACAGUGUUGAAAUGCCUUUUUGUCCAUCCUGCUGCUUGUUAAUCUUUCUCAUAUAAAUUUUAAAGAAAAAAUUACAGGACAGACCAAUGUUUUCAUCUGUUUUCCAGCUCAGGGAGACCAAAACAUUCCAGAACUGUUUCAACAAUAAGGAAUAUAACUGAAUCUAUGUACAAAGUGUUCUUUGUGUGUGCAGUCACAAAGCCUCUGAAUUUCCAUAUCAGAAUGCAAACCUUCUAAACAUUUCCAUAUCAGAAUGCAAACCCCCUUUUGACUAUAAGGUUGGACUUUUCCCCCGCUCUGUGAAUUUAUGUACAUCUUGGACUAAGAUUGCAAGAGGAAGGACACUGCAUUCUAAGAGUCAAUGCUUGAUGGUCAUCCACUCUGAUCCAAUACUUGUGGCAUAAUGGAUAUUAAGUAAUCCCUAAGACAAACUAGUGUUUGGAUUUUAAUUCUGGGAAUGGAGAGGAGACCAAGGUGUCUAUGCAACAGAUGUGGCUGAAGGAUAAAGAAGAAAAGGUCUCAACAAUGCUCUUUUUUAUGAAAGAGGAUAUGGAAAAGAAACUGUCCAUAUACAUGGACAUCUUCUGCUUCUCUGCAAGAUGGAGAAACCCUGGGCUGAACUAAUUUUGGCCUUACAACCCAAGUGCUUCAAGGGAGCUGAGGACAAUGUAGGGCUUGUUAUUUUGCCUAGAAAUUUGAACUUUUCUGCUAUAAAGAGUACUAGUGCUUAGAAAUUUUAGUCUGGAUGUGUCUUUGCAUCACUACCACCUCUGCCUAAGAGAUGAAAUAUAAACCAGGCUGGUGUCCUCAGAAAGGGCACGUUUGAGCUUUGGGUCAUCCCAGAGUCAAUGCCAACAAUGCCCAAGCACAGCAGUCAGCAGUCCCAGUUCUGAUGAAUUCUGCAGGCACAAAUUGCAGCAAGCUCAGUUCGGGGUCCAGCAGCCCAGUGAGUCCCCUGCUAGGGAGAGUUCCAAGAGGUUUAUGCUGCUAAUCAUUCCUCCAUUUUUGUGUCAAUUUGCUUCAGCCACAGCAGCUGAAGGCAGAUGUAAGAGUGCAGUGAUGCAAUCGCUGGAGCUACUGAUGGAAAAUGAAUGCAGCAUCAGCUGCAGGAACAAAAGCAUUUAACACCAUUAGACAGCUCCUUGAGGCUGCGGGAUGAAGCCCUGGCAGCAGCCAUGCUCCUCUAAGUCCUGACUGAGCCUGAUGUGGGGAUGUUGUGCUCUGCUCCCCAGCCCAGCCUCUCGCCAUUUCCAGCUUGCCACAGGGACUUGCUCUCCAUGUCUGGAUUCUGCUUUGAUCCUCUUCUGUUUCUCCUGCCACACAUUAGUAAAUGCACUUGCAGUAAAAUCAAUGGGAGUUUGAAAACUAAAAGUAAUGUGUGCUUUGGUAUGCUACUAAUCCACUUAUUUGGAUCCUCUUACUGCUCCUCUGGGCUGUCCUGAUCCUCUCUAUCAGCCCACCCAGCUGCUCUGAUCUGCUCUCUAAACUUCUGCCGUGGC